RNAcentral lists this ribosomal RNA (254 nucleotides) under uncultured bacterium. RNAcentral describes it as "partial 16S ribosomal RNA". It matches the Rfam family "Bacterial small subunit ribosomal RNA", at positions 524 to 776 of the family's 1533-position model. The record is from RNAcentral.
UACGUAGGGUGCGAGCGUUGUCCGGAAUUAUUGGGCGUAAAGAGCUCGUAGGCGGUCUGUCGCGUCGGCUGUGAAAACUCGGGGCUCAACCCCGAGCCUGCAGUCGAUACGGGCGGGCUAGAGUUCGGCAGGGGAGACUGGAAUUCCUGGUGUAGCGGUGGAAUGCGCAGAGUAUCAGGAGGAACACCGGUGGCGAAGGCGGGUCUCUGGGCCGAUACUGACACUGGAGAAGCGAAAGCGUGGGAGCGAACAGG